Non-coding RNA from Cricetulus griseus (Chinese hamster), 2375 nucleotides. The record is from RefSeq and is a predicted model, not a curated record. Lineage: Eukaryota; Metazoa; Chordata; Mammalia; Rodentia; Cricetidae.
UCUGCCUGCCUCUGCCUCUGCUGGGAUUAAAGGCUUGCAACACCAACGCCCAGCUGUCAGUCUAGUUUUUAUGUUAGCCUUUAUUGUCUGACUGAGGUAGUGUCUGCUGGAUUUUUCAACUGCGAAGUUACUACUUUUUCCAAUCUGCUGUAGUCAUUAUAAGUGAAUGACCAUGCACAGUUCAGACAUAAGUAGACAGUUAUGAUUCAUGUUCCAAACGUUAGACAGGCUAUAUAAAUGAUUUCAGAUUUCUGUACUGAAGUGUGUCUGGUAUCUCCAUUAUUUCUUUAAUCAGGCAUCUCUUUAUAUUAGCAUGGAUUCAUGAAGAUGUAUUUGUAUUUUGAGUUAGAACCCUAUGUGUUUAAGCAUUUCUUACCUUUCUCAACUUGGUCCAGCUUUGGCUCCUGGGAAGGUUGUCAUUUGUUUCUUUUGUCUUAUUGUUAUGCCUAUGUUCAUAUUUGGUGUUUAUUUUUCUGGUUUGUGGCAUACUGCUAGCCAAAAUCUGAGUAUUAUGUACUCUGUGAUGUAUUUUAAGCUAAAGGAAAAAGGAGAGAUAUGUCUAUCGUUUUUUAGCAUACUCUAAAAUGGAGGUCAGCAAAUAUUUCCUGUAAAGUGCCAAAUGCUCAUUAUCAUACAUUGUGUAGCCUUAGGUUUCUGUCUCUAUAACUAAGCAACUUCAGAAGUAGAUGAAGCAGCCAGAGUUAGAAGGUAAACAAAUGGAUGGAUGCUGCUAUGUUACAAUAUUUACAACUUUCCUUAUGAAUUAUUUGUGUGUACAUGGGGGGAACUAAAAGAACAAAAGAUGAAGAUAAGGAUGAGAGAGGAGGGGUAAAUUAGGGGCAAAUAAGCAGACAGUGAGGGAGGAAGGGAGGGAGGGAAGAGAUGGGGAGGAUUAAGGGUUAUAGGUUUAAUAGAAAUGUUCUGAUUUUAGAACUUAAAUGCUAUUAUUUUGCUCUCUCUCCCUGUCCAUGACUCUUCAAAUUACAUCCCAGGAGCUACAUGUAUUUCUUUGUCCAGCAUUCAGAAAGUAAUAGACUGUCUCAAGUGUGUACUGAUCUGAUAUCCCAAGAGGUCACAGAUCUUGUCCACUCUGGUCAAAGGUCAAAGAAGAAUUGUAUCCUUAUGGGAGAGUCUCAAUAACUUAGUAUUUCUUGUGGAAAAUGUUUUACGUUUUUUAGCACAGAAUUCAGAGAUUUCAAAAAUCCCUUAUAAGAUAGAGCCAAUUGUCAAAGUACCAUCUUCCUCAGCAUCUUUUGAAUUCAGAGUAUGGCUUUUACAUUCAUCUUUGAGAAACUUCUGUUAUUUUCCUUAACUCCUCUUGUGUGUUUAAUUUUUGCAACACAUGAUUGAAAUUAUAGAAGCAAAGCACUUCUAUUAUUUGUCUGAGAAUCAUUUAUAUAUAAGGUGUCAUUUAGUAUUUAUUUUGAUAUUUGGAAGACUAUUUUCCAAAUAUUCAAAUUGUCCAGAUAGAUGGAAGACAGCUAUCUCCAUGGACAUAUAUCUUUGUGCUAUGCAGACCUGAGUUUAGAUUCCUAGAAUUCAAACAAGGUCUGGUCUGUGGCAGCACACAUGUGUUUCUUCAGUGCUGGGUAGGGGUUGGGGGUGGGCACAUCUCUGUAGCCAACUGGUUAGCUAGUUUAACUGAACUUCUAAUCUUUAGGUUCAAUGAGAUAUCCUGUUUCAAAAAACAAGAAGGUUGAAAACAACAGAGGAUGAUACAGAUCAUUGACUUCUGAUCUCCCCACUUCAGAAUGUACACCAGCAUAUACAUGUACACAGACAUGAGCUCUCACACACCCACACACAUGUACACAGGCACACACAUGAAAACUGUUUCCACUGUUUCUUUGUAGCACUUCAAAGAGAACCUAAACAUAUCAUGACAAAUCCUAACUUUUUAGUAAUAGUUCUGGAAUAUUUUUUUUCAAUGAAAAAGUAAUGAGUCCUUUUUUAUUGCAGUUGCUUAACGUGCUAACCCCAUAAGCUCAGGCCUUUCAUCCAUCCAUCACAGCAGACGGCUGGGGAAAGACCCUGAGAAACCAUGGGACCGAGAUCUUAUAGGGUAGCAUAAGGGGAGUGUCUAGAGGUCUGCAGACUACCCUCCUGUACUGAUUAGUUGAACAGACUGCAGCUGUGGAGCCUCCAGGUCUGUGGCCUAGCAAACACAACAGAAGGACUAAGAAUGUGACAUGAGACUAUGUAGAAGGACAGAGACCAACGCCUAGUGAAAAUCAAUUCCAUUGAAGGAGAUCUCCUAGCACUGGUUACUAGAGCAUCAGCAAUGACAGACAAUAUCCCAGAGGUCAUGAAGGUUCGUGGUGCUUUUCCUUGUGAUGGGGGUAGAUAAUACAUGCAUUGGUAAGAACAUAGAAGGC